AAGAGAUUAGUUAAAGAUAUAACAUUAAUUUGUCAAAUUAAAAUUAUUUAUUAAUAUCACUUA
RNAcentral lists this transfer RNA (63 nucleotides) under Aphis nerii (oleander aphid). RNAcentral describes it as "tRNA-Asp". RNAcentral also lists the same sequence under 1 other name. Lineage: Eukaryota; Metazoa; Arthropoda; Insecta; Hemiptera; Aphididae. The record is from RNAcentral.